Non-coding RNA from Acanthosepion pharaonis, 112 nucleotides. The record is from the annotation of a GenBank genome assembly. NCBI's taxonomy places the organism in Eukaryota, Metazoa, Mollusca, Cephalopoda, Sepiida, Sepiidae.
UACAGCCACAUCAUGUUGAAACACUAGUUCCUGUACUAUCAUUGAAGUUAAGCAAUGUUGAGCCUGGUCAGUAUCUAGAUGGGUGACUGCUUGGGAAUACUACGUGCUGUAA